RNAcentral lists this non-coding RNA (109 nucleotides) under Sporomusa sphaeroides. RNAcentral's name for it is "Sporomusa sp. SAM-I sequence". It matches the Rfam family "SAM riboswitch aptamer (S box leader)". From Rfam's summary of the family: The SAM riboswitch is found upstream of a number of genes which code for proteins involved in methionine or cysteine biosynthesis in Gram-positive bacteria. The SAM riboswitch acts at the level of transcription termination control. Lineage: Bacteria; Bacillati; Bacillota; Negativicutes; Selenomonadales; Sporomusaceae. RNAcentral also lists the same sequence under 1 other name. The record is from RNAcentral.
UACUCAUCAAGAGUGGUGGAGGGACUGGCCCAAUGAAGCCGCGGCAACCAUUUAGCAUGUUUAUGUUAAAAACGGUGCCAAUUCCGACGGUAAAACCGUGAGAUGGGAG